Molecule: ribosomal RNA, 468 nt
Filed under: uncultured bacterium
Lineage: Bacteria
Description: partial 16S ribosomal RNA
Rfam family: Bacterial small subunit ribosomal RNA
Source: RNAcentral
GACGAACGCUGGCGGCGUGCUUAACACAUGCAAGUCGAACGGAAAGGCCCUGCUUUUGUGGGGUGCUCGAGUGGCGAACGGGUGAGUAACACGUGAGUAACCUGCCCUUGACUUUGGGAUAACUUCAGGAAACUGGGGCUAAUACCGGAUAGGAGCUCCUGCUGCAUGGUGGGGGUUGGAAAGUUUCGGCGGUUGGGGAUGGACUCGCGGCUUAUCAGCUUGUUGGUGGGGUAGUGGCUUACCAAGGCUUUGACGGGUAGCCGGCCUGAGAGGGUGACCGGCCACAUUGGGACUGAGAUACGGCCCAGACUCCUACGGGAGGCAGCAGUGGGGAAUAUUGCAGAAUGGGCGGAAGCCUGAUGCAGCAACGCCGCGUGCGGGAUGACGGCCUUCGGGUUGUAAACCGCUUUCGCCUGUGGCGAAGCGUGAGUGACGGUAAUGGGUAAAGAAGCAACGGCUAACUACGUG